RNAcentral lists this ribosomal RNA (468 nucleotides) under uncultured bacterium. RNAcentral describes it as "partial 16S ribosomal RNA". It matches the Rfam family "Bacterial small subunit ribosomal RNA", at positions 28 to 507 of the family's 1533-position model. The record is from RNAcentral.
GACGAACGCUGGCGGCGUGCUUAACACAUGCAAGUCGAACGGAAAGGCCCUGCUUUUGUGGGGUGCUCGAGUGGCGAACGGGUGAGUAACACGUGAGUAACCUGCCCUUGACUUUGGGAUAACUUCAGGAAACUGGGGCUAAUACCGGAUAGGAGCUCCUGCUGCAUGGUGGGGGUUGGAAAGUUUCGGCGGUUGGGGAUGGACUCGCGGCUUAUCAGCUUGUUGGUGGGGUAGUGGCUUACCAAGGCUUUGACGGGUAGCCGGCCUGAGAGGGUGACCGGCCACAAUGGGACUGAGAGACGGCGCAGACUCCUACGGGGGGCAGCAGUGGGGAAUAUUGCACAGUGGGCGGGAGCGUAAGGAGGCAACGCCGCGUGCGGGAUGAAGGCCUUCGGGUGGUAAACCGCUUUAGCCUGAGACGAAGCGUGAGUGACGGUAAUGGGUAAAGAAGCACCGGCUAACUACGUG